Molecule: RNA transcript, 1838 nt
Organism: Lactuca sativa (garden lettuce)
Lineage: Eukaryota; Viridiplantae; Streptophyta; Magnoliopsida; Asterales; Asteraceae
Source: RefSeq, a predicted model, not a curated record
UCUCUCUCUCUCUCUCUCUCUCUCUCUCUCUCUCUCUCUCUCUCUCUAAACCUAAAUAGCCAAGGGUUUGUCUCACUACAAGAUCAACGCAAUUUCCAAAUACCAUCCACGAAAUUCAAAACUUUUUGAGCUAAAUUUUCGUCACGAGUUCAGGAGUUUCGAUGGGUUUUCGAUCUUGGUUGAUUCUUCAAAAACCCAACCGACAAGUUCAUCCAAAAUCAUCUACAUGAGGUUCUUCCACGUUUGUAGCGACUGUUGUGUUGUAGCUGUUAAAUAUUAAUUAUCUACUCACUUUCAAUGGAGAUCGGUCUCAACAAACAAGAAAAUACCAAAACAAGUGAAUUUAUGAGCUUUUCUAUUCGUGAGUAUGUUGCUGAAAUUCGCAAAAAAGAUCGGAAGAAAUGUUGGCCUUUUGGAUCACUGGGUGAUCCUGAAAAGUAUGAUGUUUUUGCUUCAUAUCAAUCGGUAGAUUCUACAUUCUUGUGUAGUCCCAGUGAUCAUAUUGAUGGUUCACAUGAUAAACCAGAACAUAAAGAAGCUUCAAAUUCAUCUAUCAAAAAAACUCUCACUGGAAAAGAAGAUCGAUCUCAAACUAAAGAUAUGAUUGAAUCUCUAGGAGCGAAUGAUAUUAAUAUAUGCAAACGAGUCAACAAUGGAUACCCAGAUUCAAAAUCUUGCAAGGUGAUUUACAAGGAGCAAAACCAACCUGAAAAUAGUGCGAAUGGAAGUGGAUAUAACGAUAAAUCUGGAAGAAUUCAGCCACGAAGGAAACAUCAGAAGCUUUGUUUGUUGUCUGAUAUAUUAAGGAAUCUUGACAAAGUUAACACUAGAAACACUACAGAAUCUAAAGAUGAGAAAUAUGAGGAUGUUGCGUUUUCCAGAAAACAAAAGGGUGUUCAAAUUACCACAAUCUCAAACAACAAGAUGACGACAUAUGGUGUUGAAGAGAUGAGAUUUGGAAAAGAAGAAAAGUCAAAGUGUGGAUCAAAAGACUCGCAUGAAAAUGAUUCGAGGAAAACUAGGAUUGAUGACAUGGAUUUUCAGGUCAUGGAAAAGCGUAGAAAAGUUAGACCACUGGAGGAAAAUGGUAUCCAAUCUACAGUAACACCAAACGAAGAUUCUGAAAUGGAGGCUGUGAUGCUAUUGGCUACGCAUUUUAAUGAAGAGAAUCCUUCAAAUCCAACAGAUGAUGCAAAAAGAGCUCAAAUGGUUCAAUCGACCAUGGAAAUGGAGUCACUAGCAGGAGAAGCAAGCAAACAUAUGACUACUUAUUCACCAAUAUUAACCUCAAAUGUUGGGAAUCGAGCUAAAUUUCGGCAUGAUCAAGGGUUUGCAAUGGGGACGACUUGUGCUUGUGUCCAUAAAAAGAUCCGAGUGAGUUUAGGGACAGAGAAUAGGAGCUCAACAGCUGCCAGUUUUCAAAACAAUUUGACUCUUGUGUGCUCGAUUAAUAGGAAUCCAGCUGAUUUCAGCAUACCUAAUGCUCAAAAUGUGUUUAUGAGAGGAGGUUGAAGUUUAAGCAGCGUUUUUGUGGUCUUAAAAGUUACGCUCGUUGUCGUAUUAGAAGAAUAAUCAUCACAGCUUUGAAGUUGUUCCAAAUACAGGUUGCACAUAUGGAGAAUCUAUUGGGCUUUUUGGAUCAGAUGGACCGGGUAGGUCUUUGACUGGGCUAUAGUGUCAUCAGUUUGGACCGGUGAAUUUGUGGUAUUUGAGCUAUAACAUCAUCAUAUUCUUUUUUUUAAACCGUUAUACUCGUUCGGGGUUUUUGGAUAGGUUUUUAUUUGUAUUUUCUUAAUAUUGUAUUUUGAGUUUAUUUAUUUAUUUAUUUAUUUUAAUCA